CAGCACCUCAAGUGGUCAGGAUGAUUAUUGGGCCUAAAGCAUCCGUAGCCGGCGCUGUAAGUUUUCGGUUAAAUCUGUACGCUCAACGUACAGGCUGCCGGGAAUACUGCAGCGCUAGGGAGUGGGAGAGGUAGACGGUACUCGGUAGGAAGGGGUAAAAUCCUUUGAUCUAUUGAUGACCACCUGUGGCGAAGGCGGUCUACCAGAACACGUCCGACGGUGAGGGAUGAAAGCUGGGGAAGCAAACCGGAUUAGAUACCCGCGUAGUCC
Molecule: ribosomal RNA, 270 nt
Filed under: uncultured archaeon
Lineage: Archaea
Description: partial 16S ribosomal RNA
Rfam family: Archaeal small subunit ribosomal RNA
Source: RNAcentral